AUACGAAAGGUGCAAGCGUUGUGCGGAUUUACUGGGCGUAAAGAGAGUGUAGGUGGUUUAUUAAGUCGGAUGUGAAAUCCCGGGGCUCAACCUCGGAACUGCAUUCGAUACUGAUAGGCUAGAGUUUGGGAGGGGUAAGCGGAAUUCCGUGUGUAGCAGUGAAAUGCGUAGAUAUACGGAGGAACACCUGAGGCGAAGGCGGCUUACUGGACCAAUACUGACACUGAGACUCGAAAGCGUGGGUAGCAAACAGGAUUAGAAACCCCAGUAGUCC
RNAcentral lists this ribosomal RNA (274 nucleotides) under uncultured bacterium. RNAcentral describes it as "partial 16S ribosomal RNA". It matches the Rfam family "Bacterial small subunit ribosomal RNA", at positions 523 to 796 of the family's 1533-position model. The record is from RNAcentral.